This 253-nucleotide ribosomal RNA is filed under the name uncultured bacterium. RNAcentral's name for it is "partial 16S ribosomal RNA". It matches the Rfam family "Bacterial small subunit ribosomal RNA", at positions 524 to 776 of the family's 1533-position model. The record is from RNAcentral.
UACGUAGGGAGCAAGCGUUGUUCGGAUUUACUGGGCGUAAAGGGCGCGUAGGCGGCAUAUUAAGUCAUCUGUGAAAUCUCCGAACUUAACUCGGAACGGCCAACUGAUACUGCUGUGCUAGAGUGCAGAAGGGGCAAUCAGAAUUCUUGGUGUAGCGGUGAAAUGCGUAGAUAUCAAGAGGAAUACCUGAGGUGAAGACGGGUUGCUAGGCUGACACUGACGCUGAGGCGCGAAAGCCAGGGGAGCAAACGGG